UACAGAGGGUGCGAGCGUUGUUCGGAAUUAUUGGGCGUAAAGGGCGCGUAGGUGGCGACCCAAGUCGAUGGUGAAAGCUCGCCGCUCAACGGCGAGUCGGCCACCGAUACUGGGUUGCUGGAGCACUGUAGAGGCUCAUGGAAUUCCGGGUGUAGCGGUGGAAUGCGUAGAGAUCCGGAAGAACACCGGUGGCGAAGGCGGUGAGCUGGGCAGUUGCUGACACUGAGGCGCGACAGCGUGGGGAGCAAACAGG
This 253-nucleotide ribosomal RNA is filed under the name uncultured bacterium. RNAcentral's name for it is "partial 16S ribosomal RNA". It matches the Rfam family "Bacterial small subunit ribosomal RNA", at positions 524 to 776 of the family's 1533-position model. The record is from RNAcentral.